GACCAAGAAGUCUAACAUGUGUGCGAGUCAUUGGGUAUAUUGUUGAAACCUAAAGGCGUAAUUAAAAUAACUAUUUUUAUGGGAUUACAAGUCAAUUAAUUUUGAUUUCUCCAUCCCGGGGCGUUCUAUACGAACAUGGUUUAAGCAAUUGAAUCCUCUGUUCAAGAGCGUACCUUGAGCAUACAUGCUGUGACCCGAAAGAUGGUGAACUAUACCUGAUCAGAUCGAAGCCAGGAGAAAUUCUGGUGGAGGAUCGAAACAGUUCUGACGUGCAAAUCGAUUGUCAGAAUUGGGUAUAGGGGCGAAAGACCAAUCGAACCAUCUAGUAGCUGGUUCCCUCCGAAGUUUCCCUCAGGAUAGCUGGCGCAAAGAAUUAUCUUAUGUAUAAUCUUAUCUGGUAAAGCGAAUGAUUAGAGGCCUUGGGGCCGAAACGACCUCAACCUAUUCUCAAACUUUAAAUGGGUAAGAACCUCAUCUUUCUUGAUCUGAAGAUAUUGGGGUUUAGAUAUAUUGUGCCCAGUGGGCCACUUUUGGUAAGCAGAACUGGCGCUGUGGGAUGAACCAAACAUGAUGUUACGGCGCCUAAAUUAAUGACUCAUGUUGAUACCAUGAAAGGCGUUGGUUGCUUAAAACAGCAGGACGGUGGACAUGGAAGUCGUAAUCCGCUAAGGAGUGUGUAACAACUCACCUGCCGAAGCAACUAGCCCUUAAAAUGGAUGGCGCUCAAGUCAUAUGCCUAUACAUCAUCGCUAGAAUAAAAAGUGUUUACUUUAUUGUAAUCAUUGUGAAAUUCUAGUGAGUAGGAGGGUACAAUGGUGUGCGCAGAAGUGUUUGGCGUGAGCCUGCAUGAAGCCGCUAUUGGCACAGAUCUUGGUGGUAGUAGCAAAUAAUCGAAUGAGAUCUUGGAGGACUGAAGUGGAGAAGGGUUUCGUGUGAACAGUGGUUGAUCACGAGUUAGUCGGUCCUAAGCUCUAUGCGAAAGCUGUUUAAUUUAUGUUUCAUAAUAAUAAUUAUAAAAAAUUAAUUUUUUGUUGUUCAUAAUUUAAUAAGAGCGAAAGGGAAUACGGUUCCAAUUCCGUAACCUGUUGAGUAUACGUUUGUUUAUUAAAAAUGGGUCUUAUUACACUCAUCCUGGCAACAGGAACAACCAUUGAAAAGCCUUCGAGAGAUACUGGAAGAGUUUUCUUUUCUGUUGAACAAUCGUAUCACCAUGGAAGUCUUUCAUAGAGAGAUAUGGUGAAUGGAUUGGAAGAGCAUGACAUUUACUGUUGUGUCAGUAUUAUCUCUUUGGACCUUGAAAAUCAAUGGUGGGGCCACGCAAAUUUCUCAACAGACCGUACCGAUAUCCGCAG
RNAcentral lists this ribosomal RNA (1352 nucleotides) under Trichosia sp. 2 nr. flavicoxa SS-2012. RNAcentral describes it as "eukaryotic LSU rRNA". It matches the Rfam family "Eukaryotic large subunit ribosomal RNA", at positions 664 to 1859 of the family's 3401-position model. The record is from RNAcentral. Lineage: Eukaryota; Metazoa; Arthropoda; Insecta; Diptera; Sciaridae.